AGCUCUCAGAGACGCGCGACGAAUAUCCGGGUCCGCGAGUGCUUCAUGAAGUUUCAAAAGCAGCCCGUGAAUUCCUCCUGCAGCGUUGCUUUGCUGAAGAGACAUAGCUGACCCGAGUCUCCUCCAGCUAACAAUUUAUCAAUUGAGGGGUCACAGGCACUGUCAGCCAUUUCCAUCAAUUCACAGACGCUUCCAUCUGAUUCUAAUUCUCCUGAAUAUUAUCCGUGGACUUGUCAGAAUCCCUGCUUCCCGGGAUUCCAAGGUGCUGCUUUCUGCUACCAGAAUGACGGAGCGCAGGUUGUGCCAAUCGCCAUGACAACCACGCAGCCAGGUAAGGUUGCUAAACUACACACAACAAAAGAGGCACAAUGAAUAAAAUAUGAGAACAAAAUGGAAUGGAACUCCCCGGACAAUUCAGCCCGAAUGACUCGGAUCCAGCUUGUGUGAAUUUCUUAAAAAUGAGUCAUAAGGUGGCUAAGUAUGCAACCUGUGUUUGCAUUUCCUGCAAUCUCUGAUGAGAGACCAUGAAUGAUCUCCUGGGUGGGUCACAAAGGUCUGGAUCGGGAGAUCAAUCAGCUGCUGGAGGAGUCAUGGGUGUAAUGUCCCAGAGGUGCGUCGGUGGAUUGAGGUUUGGGGAAACAGUGGACUCCUCAAUGUCAUCAGUGCCUUUUUUUGAGUUUAAAAUACCUCACCCACGCUCUUGUAUCGGAUCAAAGGUCAGUCUUUUUUUGGGUCAACUCUCUUCAACUUGCAACUUUAACCUGAUAACAUACAAUUGACCUUUUGUGCUUGGUUUUGGCUUAUUUUGUAAUGUGUGCAAGUUUUUGUGUGUGUAUUGAUUAUUACAGUAAGUAUACUAUCAUUUAACCCCUUGGCUUUGUUCUAUUGGAUCUUUUUUGCUUCUUCGGACAGUCUGACAUCUUAGUGAGUGUGUGUAUUUUUGCUUUUUUGCAUGAAGUUUGACCUAACACCAGUCUUAUAGUUUCUGCUUAUUUUUAACACUAUACAGUGCUGUACAGUGUUGUUGAUACAAUCAGCAGAGGGAUCAUCCGCUUGUUAAAUUAAAAUAAUUCAAAUUCAUUGUCAGUGUUGUAAGCCAUUAGACGACUUUUCGAAAAGAAGAAUAUUAUACAAUGUGUCUAGGAUGAUUCUUGUUUAGCCAAGCAAAUAACAAGCUAUGUAAAAAUGUCAUUUUGAAGCAUUUCAAUGUGUCCAAAUCUCUGCUGUUUCAUUUUAUAUAUGAUGAUAACACUGUUCAACAUAUUUUUACUCAUUAUUUUUAAUCAGAGAUGAAAGUAUGUCGAUUUCCAAUCUGCCCUCAUUUUUUGCAAGCAUGUCAGGUUUUUAUAACAAUGUCAAACCUAAAAUCAAAACAUAAGGACAUAUGAAAAAAGGGGAAACAUUUUAUUUUUUAAAAAUCAGCGUCAGAAAUACAUUUAGGGAUACAUGAAGCCAUCUCUGAUUAAAAUGUGCUGUUGCCCAGUGUACUAAUAUGAAUGAAUGAAGGAAUGAAUGCAAAACCUGAUGUGUUUAAUAUCUCUGACGUACCCACAGGUGACCUGACAGCCUCCCAGCUACAGUACACCGGCCCCAUUUUCACACAGGCUAUGCCACAGGGCGGCCUUCCUCGUAAACAGUCCGAACGCAGCUUGUUGAAGAACAGGGAAGCUGCCCGCGAAUACAGGAGGAGGAAAAAGGUUUAUAUUCAAGAUCUUGAGAAACGUGCGGAGAAGCUUGAAAUGGAAAAUAAGGCUUUGAAGGAAGAACUUAAAAUCUGGAAAAUGGAUCAACAGAGAUUUAAAUAGUUUCUUCACUGCAAGCUGUUUUGAAUUGCAUAGAGUGAAUCAGAUAACAUGAAUUUUUUUUAUGAUAUUAUCAGGACGCAUUUGCACAGCCUGCAACGCAUAUACUUGAAUGUUUAGCUUUAGUGACCUUGUGUCACAAGCCCGCAAAAUUCAUUUGCAUUUUUGUCAGAUUUCUGGAAUCAACAAAAAAUCCCAACAACGCAGGCAUUAGGGAAAUUGUCAGAAAAUGAUGACAAAUAGAUUUUUUUAAAUGUUUGAAACGGUGACGUGAAUCAUGAUGGAGGCAAAUCAAAGUUAGGAGAAUUUUGCUUACACAGCUAAACCUCGUUUUUACGCCCUUUGAUUCUACACGACUUUCUGUCUAACGCAGUUUGGUCAUGGACCCCAAUUUUUUUCGUCAUAUUUUAAAUGUAGAAAUUGUAGUGCGAGAAGAGGCUUAGCUGUAUUAGCAAAUGAGUGUCAACAGCUAAUGUCUGUAUACGGUCUUUGAAUGUUUGUGUGUUGAAAAAAAAUAAAUAAAAUCCCUGGGAUUAUUUUUGACCCCACUUUAGCAUCUAAUAGAUAUAGAGAAUACUUGAAAUACAUAUUUAAAUGACAAAAAAUGCAAUUGUGUUUUCCACUCCUUUUGUAUAAUAGGCAUUUUCCCAUCCAGGUGUCAUGUGACACAUUUAUUGGACCUAAACAGUUUUAAACUGUAAUAACAGCAUUCACCACCAGAUGGCAGGCAUGUCUUACUAGUACUGCCUAGAGAAAAGGGAAGAGUGGGUCAGAACCAAACUGGUCAAGUAAAUUUGGACUUUUAAGUCAAAUAAAAAUCUGAUUAUUCAUUGAAUUAAAAAACGAUGUAAUUUUGAGAUGAGAGCAGAAGAGAAAGCUGAUUAAUUGAAAACUCCCAGAGCAACUCCUAUGAAAUCAUUUGCUUACAGUGCUUUGGCAGAUCCGAUGAAAAAACAUUUGUCACAUUGGUAAAAUAGCAGGCAGCUGAGUAACUUCAUACCUCGGCGCAGCUGCUAUGUGCCGAAGAAUCCAGCGAACGUAUGUUAGCCCCUAAAUCCUGUGUGGCCAUCUGUUACGUCGCAAAAACCCUCUUGUUGUAUCUGCACAUGGCUAAUAAAGUGAAUUACCUGGAACACAAUGUA
Molecule: long non-coding RNA, 2944 nt
Organism: Syngnathus acus (greater pipefish)
Lineage: Eukaryota; Metazoa; Chordata; Actinopteri; Syngnathiformes; Syngnathidae
Exons: 4
Source: RefSeq, a predicted model, not a curated record